This 781-nucleotide ribosomal RNA is filed under the name Podosphaera diclipterae. RNAcentral's name for it is "eukaryotic LSU rRNA". It matches the Rfam family "Eukaryotic large subunit ribosomal RNA", at positions 119 to 919 of the family's 3401-position model. Lineage: Eukaryota; Fungi; Ascomycota; Leotiomycetes; Helotiales; Erysiphaceae. The record is from RNAcentral.
AAUCUGGCUCCUCGGGGCCCGAAUUGUAAUUUGUAGAAGAUGCUUUGGGUCUGGGCCUGGCCUAAGUUCCUUGGAACAGGACGUCGUAGAGGGUGAGAAUCCCGUAUGCGGCUGGCGCCCGUGCCCGUGUAAAGCUCUUUCAACGAGUCGAGUUGUUUGGGAAUGCAGCUCUAAAUGGGUGGUAAAUUUCAUCUAAAGCUAAAUAUUGGCCAGAGACCGAUAGCGCACAAGUAGAGUGAUCGAAAGAUGAAAAGCACUUUGGAAAGAGAGUUAAACAGUACGUGAAAUUGUUGAAAGGGAAGCGCUGGCAACCAGACUUGGGCGCUGUUGAUCCGCUAGGGUUCUCUCUAGGGCACUCGGCAGUGCGCAGGCCAGCAUCGGUUUGGGGGGUUGGAGAAUGGCUGGUGGAAUGUGGCUGUCUUCGGGCAGUGUUAUAGCCACCGGUGGCAUGCAGCCUCCCCGGACCGAGGACCGCGCUUCGGCUAGGAUGCUGGCGUAAUGGUUGUCAGCGACCCGUCUUGAAACACGGACCAAGGAGUCUAACAUCUAUGCGAGUGUUUGGGUGUUAAACCCAUACGCGGAAUGAAAGUGAACGUAGGUGAGAACCCGCAAGGGUGCAUCAUCGACCGAUCCUGAUGUCUUCGGAUGGAUUUGAGUAAGAGCAUAGCUGUUGGGACCCGAAAGAUGGUGAACUAUGCCUGAAUAGGGUGAAGCCAGAGGAAACUCUGGUGGAGGCUCGCAGCGGUUCUGACGUGCAAAUCGAUCGUCAAAUUUGGGUAUA